GAUGAACGCUGGCGGCGUGCCUAAUACAUGCAAGUCGAGCGAACGGACGAGAAGCUUGCUUCUCUGAUGUUAGCGGCGGACGGGUGAGUAACACGUGGAUAACCUACCUAUAAGACUGGGAUAACUUCGGGAAACCGGAGCUAAUACCGGAUGAUAUUUUGAACCGCAUGGUUCAAAAGUGAAAGACGGUCUUGCUGUCACUUAUAGAUGGAUCCGCGCUGCAUUAGCUAGUUGGUAAGGUAACGGCUUACCAAGGCAACGAUGCAUAGCCGACCUGAGAGGGGGCUCGGCCACACGGAACCGGAAAAAGGGCCAAACCCCUAAGGGAGGGAGCAGGAGGGGAUUUUUCGGAAUGGGCGAAAGCCCUACGGGGGAACCCCGCGGGAGGGAUGAAGGUCUUUGGAUUGGAAAACCGUUUUUUUAGGGAAAAAAAUAUUUGGAAAGAAACGUGGACACUCUGACGGGUCCCAAUCCGAAAGGCCCGGGCAACUUCGGG
RNAcentral lists this ribosomal RNA (496 nucleotides) under uncultured bacterium. RNAcentral describes it as "partial 16S ribosomal RNA". It matches the Rfam family "Bacterial small subunit ribosomal RNA", at positions 28 to 507 of the family's 1533-position model. The record is from RNAcentral.